Molecule: unclassified non-coding RNA, 339 nt
Filed under: soil metagenome
Description: partial contains 5.8S ribosomal RNA, internal transcribed spacer 2, and large subunit ribosomal RNA
Rfam family: 5.8S ribosomal RNA (bases 1-120)
Source: RNAcentral
GAUGAAGAACGUAGCGAAAUGCGAUACGUAGUGUGAAUUGCAGAAUUCAGUGAAUCAUCGAAUCUUUGAACGCACAUUGCACCUCUCGGUAUUCCGGGAGGUAUGCCUGUUCGAGCGUCAUUUGUACCCUCAAGCUCUGCUUGGUGUUGGGUGUUUGUUCCGCCUCUGUGUGUGAACUCGCCUCAAAACAAUUGGCAGCCGGCGUACUUGUUUUGGAGCGCAGCACAUUUUGCGAUCCAGAUCAACGUACAGCGGCAUCCAAGAAGCCUUAUUUAACGCUCUUGACCUCGGAUCAGGUAGGGAUACCCGCUGAACUUAAGCAUAUCAAUAAGCGGAGGA